RNAcentral lists this transfer RNA (81 nucleotides) under Caudoviricetes sp. RNAcentral's name for it is "tRNA-Tyr". It matches the Rfam family "tRNA". From Rfam's summary of the family: Transfer RNA (tRNA) molecules are approximately 80 nucleotides in length. Their secondary structure includes four short double-helical elements and three loops (D, anti-codon, and T loops). The record is from RNAcentral. Lineage: Duplodnaviria; Heunggongvirae; Uroviricota; Caudoviricetes.
GUAUAUCGUUAAGGAGACGGGUCUGACUGUAAAUCAGAUGGCUUAGUUCACGAGUGGGUUCGAUACCCUCUACUCCGACCA